GAUGAACGCUGGCGGCGUGCCUAAUACAUGCAAGUCGAGCGAACGGACGAGAAGCUUGCUUCUCUGAUGUUAGCGGCGGACGGGUGAGUAACACGUGGAUAACCUACCUAUAAGACUGGGAUAACUUCGGGAAACCGGAGCUAAUACCGGAUAAUAUUUUGAACCGCAUGGUUCAAAAGUGAAAGACGGUCUUGCUGUCACUUAUAGAUGGAUCCGCGCUGCAUUAGCUAGUUGGUAAGGUAACGGCUUACCAAGGCAACGAUGCAUAGCCGACCUGAGAGGGUGAUCGGCCACACUGGAACUGAGACACGGUCCAGACUCCUACGGGAGGCAGCAGUAGGGAAUCUUCCGCAAUGGGCGAAAGCCUGACGGAGCAACGCCGCGUGAGUGAUGAAGGUCUUCGGAUCGUAAAACUCUGUUAUUAGGGAAGAACAUAUGUGUAAGUAACUGUGCACAUCUUGACGGUACCUAAUCAGAAAGCCACGGCUAACUACGUGCCAGCAGCCGCGGUAAUACGUAGGUGGCAAGCGUUAUCCGGAAUUAUUGGGCGUAAAGCGCGCGUAGGCGGUUUUUUAAGUCUGAUGUGAAAGCCCACGGCUCAACCGUGGAGGGUCAUUGGAAACUGGAAAACUUGAGUGCAGAAGAGGAAAGUGGAAUUCCAUGUGUAGCGGUGAAAUGCGCAGAGAUAUGGAGGAACACCAGUGGCGAAGGCGACUUUCUGGUCUGUAACUGACGCUGAUGUGCGAAAGCGUGGGGAUCAAACAGGAUUAGAUACCCUGGUAGUCCACGCCGUAAACGAUGAGUGCUAAGUGUUAGGGGGUUUCCGCCCCUUAGUGCUGCAGCUAACGCAUUAAGCACUCCGCCUGGGGAGUACGACCGCAAGGUUGAAACUCAAAGGAAUUGACGGGGACCCGCACAAGCGGUGGAGCAUGUGGUUUAAUUCGAAGCAACGCGAAGAACCUUACCAAAUCUUGACAUCCUUUGACAACUCUAGAGAUAGAGCCUUCCCCUUCGGGGGACAAAGUGACAGGUGGUGCAUGGUUGUCGUCAGCUCGUGUCGUGAGAUGUUGGGUUAAGUCCCGCAACGAGCGCAACCCUUAAGCUUAGUUGCCAUCAUUAAGUUGGGCACUCUAAGUUGACUGCCGGUGACAAACCGGAGGAAGGUGGGGAUGACGUCAAAUCAUCAUGCUCCUUAUGAUUUGGGCUACACACGUGCUACAAUGGACAAUACAAAGGGCAGCGAAACCGCGAGGUCAAGCAAAUCCCAUAAAGUUGUUCUCAGUUCGGAUUGUAGUCUGCAACUCGACUACAUGAAGCUGGAAUCGCUAGUAAUCGUAGAUCAGCAUGCUACGGUGAAUACGUUCCCGGGUCU
RNAcentral lists this ribosomal RNA (1372 nucleotides) under uncultured bacterium. Its description in RNAcentral is "bacterial SSU rRNA". It matches the Rfam family "Bacterial small subunit ribosomal RNA", at positions 28 to 1381 of the family's 1533-position model. The record is from RNAcentral.